Long non-coding RNA from Triticum urartu, 375 nucleotides. RefSeq lists it as uncharacterized. The record is from RefSeq and is a predicted model, not a curated record. NCBI's taxonomy places the organism in Eukaryota, Viridiplantae, Streptophyta, Magnoliopsida, Poales, Poaceae.
UGGUACCAAAUCUGGAUAAACUCCUUUCGGUUCUUAAACCUGAGGAAAUUCUAUUUCUGGCUUUUCUUUUCCCGCGGGAUGCGAACAUGUUUAAAUUGCCCCUAAAGAAGAUCAAAGAUAUGAUUCAAGAAGCAAUGGCUAAAGAGGAGGAAAACAGAGAAAAGCCUCCGGUGGAAGGUUGUGAAGACCGUCGUAUGACGGAGGAGGAAAGGACAAAAUUGCUUGAAGCAUUUUCUUUCCUAUGGGAUAAAAAACAAUGAAUUGGAACUAUUGAGUGGUGUAGGUAUCCAUCUUAGCAAAUAGAGAUACCGAGGCCCACCAACCUACUACUUGUUGGUUUGGUGGGGAAAGAGGAGUGGGUAUGAGGGCUUCUUU